GAAGAGGCUCAUAGCUAUUAGGGUUUAUAGAGAGAGAAGAAGGAAGUAGGAAAAGUUCAUCGGCUUUGGUUUAUAUAGAGAGAAGGAAGAAGGAAGACUUCAUCGGCUUCACAAAUCCUAAUAUGGAAGAGGCCCUAACUGAUUUUUAGAGAGAGAAAAGGAAAGGAAGAUGGGACGAUGAUUUGAGAUAGUUUGAAGAGGAACUUUCUCUCUUAUUUGAGUUAUUGUUGUUUGAGAGAAAGCCCUAAUUAUGCUGAGUUGUUGUUUGAGAAAAAGCCCUAAUUAUACUUAUUUGUGAAGAGGCCUUAACGGAUUUUUUUGAUUUGUAAAGAGAUCCUAAUUUUUAGAGAGAGAAAAGUAAGAGGGUUUUUAAUUUUGUUAGGGAAACAGCAAGUUUGGGGGAUUGCUUGCUCCUGUAAGUUUACGGUUUACACUAUAUUGUUUAUCUUUGUU
RNAcentral lists this long non-coding RNA (453 nucleotides) under Amborella trichopoda. RNAcentral's name for it is "long non-coding RNA (ATRI_LNC004752)". The record is from RNAcentral. Lineage: Eukaryota; Viridiplantae; Streptophyta; Magnoliopsida; Amborellales; Amborellaceae.